AUGGCGGAGGCUGCAGGGCCGACGCCUCUCCUCCACGGCCUCCCGGACGAGAUCUCCAUCUGGGAGAUCCUCGUCCGCCUUCCCCCGAAACCCCUCCUCCGCUGCCGCGCCGUUUGCCGCGCCUGGCGCCGCGCCGCCUCCGCCCGCGACUUCCUCCUCGCCCACCACGCCCGCCAGCCCUCCCUCCCCCUCCUCUUCGUCGACACCGACGACCAGUCCUCCAUAGACAUCAUCACAUGCGACCAACGCGCAGCCGACGAGCUCCACUCCGUCGCCCGGCUUGACGCCCCCUCCGGCGUCUCUCUCAGGGCCUGCUGUGACGGCCUCCUCCUCUUACGCACCUGGAAUAAGGGUGUCCCAUCUCUCUCCAUCUGCAACCCGGUCACUCGUCAAUACGCUCCCCUUCACCGGCUUGAUGACUUCAGGCUCUUGGGGAUGUACCCACACAGCCCUACGGGCCAGUACCGACUACUGCUGUACCUGGCCCCGAGGUUCGAGGACGAUGCUCAAAGAGGUUCCUACGUCUUCACAUUGGGCUCCGGCCAGCAGCCGAGGCACAUAGCAGGCCCUGAUGCCAAGGAACUGUUGUAUUUCCGCGGAUCUACCCUUUUCCGUGGUAGCCUGCAUUGGCACACGGACGGGCUGAUAAUGGUAUUUGACACCACCGCGGAGUCGUUCCGUCAGAUGCACUCUCCAAUUGUUUCUGACCACCGCAGUGGCGACCUGUUUGAGACGAGUGAUAUGCUUGGCAUGUUCAGUCUGAAUGCACAAGCUACAAUUGUUGAUAUCUGGGUGAUGCAGGACUAUGAAGGUGAAGUCUGGGCCUUUAAACGCCGGGUUGCAUUGCCGAUCGCAGAGAUCAUGGUGCAAUUUCAAAAUUCUGGAGAUUGUUGGGAGCUAAUGCCUGCAUCUUGUCAUGGUGAUGUGCUCCUGCUGGCCAAAUUUGACGACGACUGGCUACUUCAGAUUGGCAUUGAUGGCAAGUUGGUUGCUAGUCUCCACCGCAGUUUCCUCCGUCCUACUCGACUUCGGCUCAAACAGUCUCUAGUUUCACAUAACUUGUUUCUGGCAUUAGAGGGUUAUGUUAUCAAUUCUUCGCCUUUCAUCUGA
This 1110-nucleotide ribosomal RNA is filed under the name Triticum aestivum (bread wheat). RNAcentral describes it as "partial small subunit ribosomal RNA". The record is from RNAcentral. Lineage: Eukaryota; Viridiplantae; Streptophyta; Magnoliopsida; Poales; Poaceae.